AACUCCCGUUUUAACGGUGUUGUCUGAGCUGCAAGCAACGAAUCAAAACUUUCAACAACGGAUCUCUUGGUUCUGGCAUCGAUGAAGAACGCAGCGAAAUGCGAUAAGUAGUGUGAAUUGCAGAAUUCAGUGAAUCAUCGAAUCUUUGAACGCACAUUGCGCCCCUUGGUAUCCCGAGGGGCAUGCCUGUUCGAGCGUCAUUUCACCACUCAAGCCCGGCUUGGUGUUGGGCGACGUCUCCUUUAGGGACGCGUCUCGAAACGCUCGGCGGCGUGGCACCGGCUUUAAGCGUAGCAGAAUCUUUCGCUUUGAAAGUCGGGGCCUCGUCUGCCGGAAGACCUACUCGCAAGGUUGACCUCGGAUCAGGCAGGGAUACCCGCUGAACUUAA
RNAcentral lists this unclassified non-coding RNA (389 nucleotides) under Cenococcum geophilum. RNAcentral describes it as "partial contains ITS1, 5.8S rRNA and ITS2". The stretch from base 47 to 200 matches the Rfam family "5.8S ribosomal RNA". Lineage: Eukaryota; Fungi; Ascomycota; Dothideomycetes; Gloniales; Gloniaceae. The record is from RNAcentral.